UUCAUAUGUGUGAAAACGUGAACACGCUACGAGUCGUGGUUUCUAGGGCUUCAUUUCAUCAUUUUUGUAAAUCGUCGGAGAUUUUGAAAAGUAAAUUCGGGCAUAAUCAAAGGAUAAGAACAAUAUAAGAUCUUUAAAAUAGUAUGAGUGGCGUGAAUCACGCAACUGUUCGAGUACACUCACCACCUUCACCUAGACUCGAGGCAUCAUCAAUAACAACUCGUCAAAACUAAAACUUACCUUCGAUAUCAAAGAUAUAUAGCCUUCGCAGAAAUUGCUGUAACCACGAGUUACGACUUUCUUUAGGACCUUUCCAUCGUUCUCAAGCCAUUUCUCGACGAAAGUUGAAUCAAAAUAUGAAAUAUUUUAAGAAAUUUCGGCCACGCGACAGAAUCUAUGACUCCCCCAGCCGUAGUGACUAAUCCAGCCUCGACUUAAUGCGUCACGCAAUCCAAGAUGGCGCUGCGUGAUAAAAGUCUAAUGACUUGCUUCUCUUUGAGAGAAAGAACAUCUGUCUGAAGUUUGGACGCUUUCAACGUAGGAAAGAUACUCAAGAAGAAACGUUAUCAUAACGAAAGUUUCAGCUGCAACUACUGAAGGAUAUGUCCGCCGCUUCAGAUUAUCCGGAGAUCGUGCCGAAGAGUGCAUCUGAGGCUAGAGGAAUAGACUUUUGUGGUACUAAACACAGCUUCUAUAUUAUCCGAUCUGAUGUGGGUGUCUACAUGAGGUGCAAAGAUAUUCACGCUGGUCAAGAUAUCAAGAUUCACCAUCUAAGUGAGGCCUGUAGAUGGGGCGAUCACUACUUGGCCACUGACUCUUUUUUUUACAUCAUUAAAGGAGAUGAAUAUCGCAGAGUUACCGACCUGAGUAAAGACGAGGACGCUGUGGUUUACUCUCUUCAUCGCAACUGUCGCGGAGGAAGCGGCUACUACUCUGCCUUUGGUAAUUGGUACAUCGUAUUUGCCAACAGAGGUACCUACAGACGAGUGAGUAACAUGAACAAAGAUGAAGACGCAGUUGAAUAUAAGAUCCAUCAAGUGUUCCAAGAUGGCAUCUAUUUCUGGGGUACCAAUGAUUAUGUGUACUGUCUGAAGCAGGCUGGAAAAUGGGGUGUCACCUAUCACAGAAGCACCAAUAUGAACUUGAACAAAGAUUGCGGUGACUUCAGCGUUCACGAGUCAGUGCUCAAGUUUAUCCCUGGUGGUAUAGCACACACCCAUGGAAAAGUGUUCGGGUAUUGGAAAGAUGUAAAAUGUCUUCAAAAUGACUCCGACACCGCCAUUGAAUUGGAAAAAACCAUCAAGAAAACCGUUGGAUUUGACAGGAGCACAAUGUCCUCCAUAGAGUUCGAAUGGUCCAUCGAGAUGGGAAUAAGCGAAGAAGUAGGAAUCAAAGCCCAAAUUUCAGAAUUGAUUGAGGCUCUCUGUAAAGUUCAGUAUAGCCUCAAAGAGACGUUUGGUGGAAAGAUGGUCAACACAGAGCAGUUCAAGUGGAGUGACAUCACUAAAGAAGACGAAAACGUUGAGCUGAAAAUUCCACCGAACACCAAGCUGUACGUUUGGCAGUUUCAAAUGGGCUUUGGAAAGAAGAAGAACCUCUUCAGUUGUGACACUGCGAUCACAUACGGUAAAACACCACCUGAGGAAACAUUAAAGUAUUUUAUGCAUUAACCGUCAUCCUGAGUUGGGCUGAAUCGGCGCCUGUUUAAGAGUGUUUAAAACAGUGACACAAACGAACCUCAGUAUGAGAACUAUACUGUGCUGACAUGUCCAAAAGCUUAUCAGUACUGCUGUUAAGCGUAAGGCAAGUGAACUUUGUUUGAAACGCGAUAGAUCGAGAGUUUAAAGUGAACAUAAGUGCAUAUAUUUUUUAAUUUCGUGGUUGCCCCUCAUUGGUUCAAACAUGCUGCACCUAUUUAAAAGGAUAUUAAAGAACAGUUAAGUGUGAGACAUGCGAUUGUACCAGGGUCAGAAUAGCUACUAAUUGAGUUUACUUUGAAUGAAUGUGAAUUUGUUUUAAAUCACUCGUAUAUGUUUACGGACAGAAUUGGACGACACGAAGUCCUGUUAUCAGAAUGCAAACGACGACGGCAACCAGGACGUGGUAAACAGUUGUGGUAAACAUACCAAACGAGAUCUCUAGAGUACUAAAAAAAUACGUUCAACAAAUUAGGAAAUUUCUAUAAAGCUAAUAUUUUUAUUAGCGUGUUGGGGAGAGAUAAUUUACUCUCUUCUGUAGUCAGCGAAUCCUAUAUGUUCAAGACAUUGGCGCCGUUUUAGUCAAAUCAAACACUUACGAUGAAAGAAAACGUCAACACAUCGCUGUAACGUAAUUUCAAAAAGUAAAGGAAAUUAUUUAGACGGUUUGCGAUUCGGCAAAGCCAAUCGUAAUGAGAACAUUUCCAGGAGAAGACUGCAAGUCUCUCUAAAGAAGAAUUAAUUUUUUUAUUGGAAAGAUGAAAUCGAGAUAACAUCAGGGAAAGUGUAUUGAAGUUCUGUAAUGUUCA
This 2506-nucleotide unclassified non-coding RNA is filed under the name Pocillopora damicornis (cauliflower coral). RNAcentral describes it as "uncharacterized LOC113673559, transcript variant X1". The record is from RNAcentral. Lineage: Eukaryota; Metazoa; Cnidaria; Anthozoa; Scleractinia; Pocilloporidae.